This 440-nucleotide ribosomal RNA is filed under the name uncultured bacterium. RNAcentral describes it as "partial 16S ribosomal RNA". It matches the Rfam family "Bacterial small subunit ribosomal RNA", at positions 338 to 795 of the family's 1533-position model. The record is from RNAcentral.
CCUACGGGAGGCAGCAGUGGGGAAUAUUGCACAAUGGGGGGAACCCUGAUGCAGCGACGCCGCGUGGGUGAAGGAGUACUUCGGUACGUAAAGCCCUAUCAGCAGGAAAGAAAAUGACGGUACCUGACUAAGAAGCCCCGGCUAACUACGUGCCAGCAGCCGCGGUAAUACGUAGGGGGCAAGCGUUAUCCGGAUUUACUGGGUGUAAAGGGAGCGUAGACGGCAGUGCAAGUCCGGAGUGAAAGCCCGGGGCUCAACCCUGGGACUGCUCUGGAAACUGUAAAGCUGGAGUGCGGGAGGGGCAGGCGGAAUUCCUGGUGUAGCGGUGAAAUCCGUAGAUAUCUGGAGGAACAUCAGUGGCGAAGGCGACUAUCUGGCACAUAACUGACGCUUAGGAGCGAAAGCGUGGGUAGCAAACAGGAUUAGAUACCCUAGUAGUC